This 160-nucleotide ribosomal RNA is filed under the name uncultured bacterium. RNAcentral's name for it is "partial 16S ribosomal RNA". It matches the Rfam family "Bacterial small subunit ribosomal RNA", at positions 355 to 507 of the family's 1533-position model. The record is from RNAcentral. RNAcentral also lists the same sequence under 1 other name.
UGGGGAAUAUUGCACAAUGGGCGCAAGCCUGAUGCAGCCAUGCCGCGUGUAUGAAGAAGGCCUUCGGGUUGUAAAGUACUUUCAGCGAGGAGGAAGGCAUUAAGGUUAAUAACCUUAGUGAUUGACGUUACUCGCAGAAGAAGCACCGGCUAACUCCGUG